GGGUCUUUUAAUUUGGGAUCCUUGGUUUAUGACCUUGAAAUUGAGGUCAAGGUCAUAGGUUAAUUGGACGUUCUAGAUUUUGACCUUUGCUUGAAAUUCAUAUUUAUAUAUCAUUUAGCCAUAGGAACUGACAUUUUCAACUGAAUUUUAAUAUUUUCAUAUCAAAAUAGAUCCUUAUUGGUGGAAAGACCUUCAAUUGUUCUUUGAACAAUUGGUUUUUAAUU
RNAcentral lists this long non-coding RNA (224 nucleotides) under Mytilus galloprovincialis (Mediterranean mussel). The record is from RNAcentral. Lineage: Eukaryota; Metazoa; Mollusca; Bivalvia; Mytilida; Mytilidae.